AACAUGGCAGAAUGAUGACGUUCGUUUUUAAUAAUUGGAUCAACCGCCGUCAAUUGACAGCUGUCUGUUUCACUGACGAAAACCAGAUCCAAAUAUCUGUUGUUUUGAUUCGGAAGAUCACAAACUUGAUAUAUGCCGGCUGUCAAGAGUGCGUGAAUAAUCGUGGACUCAGAUUCCGAACUAUGUUCAGGUUUUCCAGGUUUUUCCAGGUAGUUGCCACCCUGUAUUACAUUGAUUCCACUGAUUCCAAAUUGAAUUUGGCAGAUUAAAAUCUCCAACCACGACAAGUGAAUCAUCUUUCGUAACGGAUUUGCUGGUUUCGAUUACAAAGGAGCUACUGCAUAUUCUUCUGCUCGAAAACGAGAGUGAACGGCAAUCAGCACUCUGCCGCCCGACAGCUUUGAACUAUUCGUUUGGUUUCUAAUCACAGCGAAACACAUCAAAACAGGACGGGAACAGCAUACUGCUGGGAAUAUUUUCAUCGAGCAUCUGCUGGGUACGUGAUAACUCUUCAUUUCUGCUAUUGGGAGUGAUGCGGGAGACAAUUUAAAGGCGAACGGGAAGAUCUGUGUUCGAGAUUGUGUUCGGUUUGCGGAAUACAAUUCGGAUUGAUCAUUGUCUUGGUUGCAUGCUGGCAAGCGGUGUGAGAAAUCUAUCUCGACCGGACUCCUCUGCAGUGUCCGUUCGAAAUGGUUGUGUAUCAGCAUUAUUUAUAAACUCACGGAAAUAAAUGCCUUUUUGCCAGCUCGAGGGCUGUAACGCUUUUUCUUUGAAACGCAUAUCUAUUCCCACCU
Long non-coding RNA from Sabethes cyaneus, 794 nucleotides. RefSeq lists it as uncharacterized. NCBI's taxonomy places the organism in Eukaryota, Metazoa, Arthropoda, Insecta, Diptera, Culicidae. The record is from RefSeq and is a predicted model, not a curated record. The transcript has 6 exons.